This 72-nucleotide transfer RNA is filed under the name Camelus ferus (Wild Bactrian camel). It matches the Rfam family "tRNA". Rfam says of the family: Transfer RNA (tRNA) molecules are approximately 80 nucleotides in length. Lineage: Eukaryota; Metazoa; Chordata; Mammalia; Artiodactyla; Camelidae. The record is from Rfam by way of RNAcentral.
GGGGGUGUAGCUCAGUGGUAGAGCACAGGCUUAGCACGCACCAGGUUCUGGGUUCAACCCCCAGUACCUCCA